CCUACGGGUGGCAGCAGUGAGGAAUAUUGGUCAAUGGACGCAAGUCUGAACCAGCCAUGUCGCGUGCAGGAAGAUGGCCCUAUGAGUUGUAAACCUCUUUUGUCCGGGAGUAAAUCGCGCUACGUGUAGCUGGUUGAGAGUAUCGUACGAAUAAGCAUCGGCUAACUCCGUGCCAGCAGCCGCGGUAAUACGGAGGAUUCAAGCGUUAUCCGGAUUUAUUGGGUUUAAGGGGUGCGUAGGCGGUCGGGUAAGUCAGCGGUGAAAUCCCGGGGCUCAAACCCGGACUGCCGUUGAAACUGCAGCGCUUGAGUUUAGGAGCAGUAGGCGGAAUGCAUGGUGUAGCGGUGAAAUGCAUAGAUAUCACACAGAACACCGAUUGCGAAGGCAGCUUACCAGACCACAACUGACGCUGAUGCACGAAAGCGUGGGUAGCAAACAGGAUUAGAUACCCUUGUAGUC
This 459-nucleotide ribosomal RNA is filed under the name uncultured bacterium. RNAcentral's name for it is "partial 16S ribosomal RNA". It matches the Rfam family "Bacterial small subunit ribosomal RNA", at positions 338 to 795 of the family's 1533-position model. The record is from RNAcentral.